CCCUUAGAUGUUCUGGGCCGCACGCGUGCUACACUGAGUGGAUCAGCGGGUCAGGUUGCGCGAAAGUGUUUCCUAAUCUUUAAAUCCGCUCGUGAUGGGGAUUGACGGUUGCAAUUUUCCGUCAUGAACGAGGAAUACCUUGUAAGCGCGGGUCAUCAUCCCGCGCUGAAUACGUCCCUGCCCUUUGUACACACCGCCCGUCGCUCCUACCGAUUGAAUGGCUUAGUGAGGCCUCCGGAUUGGCUUCGGGGAGCCGGCAACGGCACCUCGUGGCUGAGAAGUUGGUCAAACUUGGUCAUUUAGAGGAAGUAAAAGUCGUAACA
This 323-nucleotide ribosomal RNA is filed under the name uncultured eukaryote. Its description in RNAcentral is "partial 18S ribosomal RNA". It matches the Rfam family "Eukaryotic small subunit ribosomal RNA", at positions 1470 to 1796 of the family's 1831-position model. The record is from RNAcentral.